RNAcentral lists this non-coding RNA (30 nucleotides) under Homo sapiens (human). The record is from RNAcentral. Lineage: Eukaryota; Metazoa; Chordata; Mammalia; Primates; Hominidae.
UGAGGGAGAAAGAGACAUCACUUGGUUGGU